UGGCUCAGAUUGAACGCUGGCGGCAUGCUUUACACAUGCAAGUCGAACGGCAGCACGGGGGCAACCCUGGUGGCGAGUGGCGAACGGGUGAGUAAUAUAUCGGAACAUAUCCGGAAGUGGGGGAUAACGUACCGAAAGGUACGCUAAUACCGCAUAUGCCCUGAGGGGGAAAGGGGGGGAUCGCAAGACCUCUCGCUUUCGGAGUGGCCGAUAUCGGAUUAGCUAGUUGGUGAGGUAAAGGCUCACCAAGGCGACGAUCCGUAGCUGGUCUGAGAGGACGACCAGCCACACUGGAACUGAGACACGGUCCAGACUCCUACGGGAGGCAGCAGUGGGGAAUUUUGGACAAUGGGCGAAAGCCUGAUCCAGCCAUGCCGCGUGAGUGAAGAAGGCCUUCGGGUUGUAAAGCUCUUUCAGCCGGAAAGAAAUUGCUUCUAUUAAUACUAGGAGUAGAUGACGGUACCGGAAGAAGAAGCACCGGCUAACUACGUGCCAGCAGCCGCGGUAAUACGUAGGGUGCGAGCGUUAAUCGGAAUUACUGGGCGUAAAGCGUGCGCAGGCGGUUUUGUAAGACAGACGUGAAAUCCCCGGGCUUAACCUGGGAACUGCGUUUGUGACUGCAAGACUAGAGUGUAGCAGAGGGGGGUAGAAUUCCACGUGUAGCAGUGAAAUGCGUAGAUAUGUGGAGGAAUACCAAUGGCGAAGGCAGCCCCCUGGGUUAACACUGACGCUCAUGCACGAAAGCGUGGGGAGCAAACAGGAUUAGAUACCCUGGUAGUCCACGCCCUAAACGAUGUCAACUAGGUGUUGGGGAAGGAGACUUCUUUAGUA
RNAcentral lists this ribosomal RNA (831 nucleotides) under uncultured bacterium. RNAcentral's name for it is "bacterial SSU rRNA". It matches the Rfam family "Bacterial small subunit ribosomal RNA", at positions 20 to 845 of the family's 1533-position model. The record is from RNAcentral.